RNAcentral lists this ribosomal RNA (356 nucleotides) under Trychopeplus laciniatus. RNAcentral describes it as "partial 12S ribosomal RNA". Lineage: Eukaryota; Metazoa; Arthropoda; Insecta; Phasmatodea; Diapheromeridae. The record is from RNAcentral.
AAUUGGCGUUAUUUAAUAUGUUUGGCUAAAUUUGAGUUAAUUGUCUUAUGGAUUUAUUGUUUGAAUUUUUAGGUGAAAUUUGCAUUUAAAUUAUGUUUAUUAUGGAUUCUUUUAAAAGCUUUUUUAAACUAGGAUUAGAUACCCUAUUAUUUUGCUUGUAAAUAUUUUUAGGGUAGUAUUAGUUAAGUUCUUUAAACCUAAAGAAUUUGGCGGUGUUUUAGUCUUAUUAGAGGAAUUUGUCCCAUAAUCGAUAACCCUCGUUUUAUCUGGCUUGGCUGUGUUAUAUCAGUAUGUAUACCUCCGUUAUAGGUUUAUUUUUUUAGGGUGGAUUUACAUAAUAGCUUAUUUGUUAUUAU